This 492-nucleotide ribosomal RNA is filed under the name uncultured bacterium. RNAcentral describes it as "partial 16S ribosomal RNA". It matches the Rfam family "Bacterial small subunit ribosomal RNA", at positions 29 to 507 of the family's 1533-position model. The record is from RNAcentral.
AGUGAACGCUGGCGGUAGGCCUAACACAUGCAAGUCGAACGGCAGCACAGUAAGAGCUUGCUCUUACGGGUGGCGAGUGGCGGACGGGUGAGGAAUACAUCGGAAUCUACUUUUUCGUGGGGGAUAACGUAGGGGAACUUACGCUAAUACCGCAUACGACCUACGGGUGAAAGCAGGGGAUCUUCGGACCUUGCGCGAUUGAAUGAGCCGAUGUCGGAUUAGCUAGUUGGCGGGGUAAAGGCCCACCAAGGCGACGAUCCGUAGCUGGUCUGAGAGGAUGAUCAGCCACACUGGAACGGAGACACGGUCCAGACUCCUACGGGAGGCAGCAGUGGGGAAUAUUGGAAAAUGGGCGGAAGCCUGAUCCAGCCAUACCGCGUGGGUGAAGAAGGCCUUCGGGUUGUAAAGCCCUUUUGUUGGGAAAGAAAAGCAGCAGGUUAAUACCCCGCUGUUCUGACGGUACCCAAAGAAUAAGCACCGGCUAACUUCGUG